Molecule: ribosomal RNA, 459 nt
Filed under: uncultured Desulfurivibrio sp.
Lineage: Bacteria; Pseudomonadati; Thermodesulfobacteriota; Desulfobulbia; Desulfobulbales; Desulfobulbaceae
Description: bacterial SSU rRNA
Rfam family: Bacterial small subunit ribosomal RNA
Source: RNAcentral
GGGCUGCAGUGAGGAAUAUUGGACAAUGGGCGCAAGCCUGAUCCAGCGACGCCGCGUGAGUGAUGAAGGCCUUUGGGUCGUAAAGCUCUGUCAGCAGGGAAGAACGGCCCUACGGUUAAUACCCGUAGGGAUUGACGGUACCUGCAGAGGAAGCACCGGCUAACUCCGUGCCAGCAGCCGCGGUAAUACGGAGGGUGCGAGCGUUAAUCGGAAUUACUGGGCGUAAAGGGCGCGUAGGCGGCCGAUCAAGUCAGAUGUGAAAGCCCACGGCUUAACCGUGUGAAGUGCAUCUGAAACUGGUUGGCUUGAGUAUCGGAGAGGAAAGUGGAAUUCCCGGUGUAGAGGUGAAAUUCGUAGAUAUCGGGAGGAAUACCGGUGGCGAAGGCGACUUUCUGGACGAAUACUGACGCUGAGGCGCGAAAGCGUGGGGAGCAAACAGGAUUAGAUACCCCAGUAGUC